This is an RNA transcript of Zingiber officinale, 1534 nucleotides long. RefSeq lists it as uncharacterized. The transcript has 3 exons. NCBI's taxonomy places the organism in Eukaryota, Viridiplantae, Streptophyta, Magnoliopsida, Zingiberales, Zingiberaceae. The record is from RefSeq and is a predicted model, not a curated record.
UCAUAAUGCUCUUGGCUGUGAUUAUUUUUCAAGAGGUGCUGUAAUGUUCAACUUGCAAUACUGUUUCAUACUGCAAUUUGAUUUACAAAUUGCAGAUAAUUUAUAACAAGUUGUUUCAUAAAUCAUUUUAAGGCACUAUUAGGGUAGAAAUACAUUUUAGACACGUAGAAAUCUGAAAUGUUCAUCUUAUGGUUUCAACAAUGCAAAUUGAUUGGCAAAACACUUGCAUUGCACAAAAUGAAUAGCUAUUUAAUCUAUAAAUUAAGAGUCCAAGGAUAAGUUUAUCAACAUUGUAGGAGUAAGGUUUACAACGCAAACUAAUUUACAAAUAAGUUUACAAUGUCUUUUCUCGAAUGAAGAUAUUAUCAAUUAUUAUAAGACCACAUUUUUGUUGGAUAAAAUGCCCUUCAAUGUAAUGAUUCAAAGUCUCCCAACCUUGCUGAAUUGGUGCAUGACUCUAAGUUUUUACAUUAUACUUAAAUGGUCCACGGAGUGGAAGUUUAUCGACAUGUGGGGGGUUUAGAGGAGGCCAAAGAAAAAGACUUAGUGAAGGUUACUGGAGAUGGCUAGGUGAAGGGAACCUUCCUGUCUUUGGCCUUUGGGAGCAAUAUAGAUAAAACAUUUUCAAUUACUCACUUCGACCUUGUGUCUCCUUGUCAGCUUAUGUCAUAUUUGUCGGGACCAUCUCCAUUGGAUUUCUGUCAAAACUGACAACAAAUAAGAAAAAUCCUGCUCUGAAGUUUGAAUUCUAAGUUGCUGAUUUCUAUAGUUUAUUUCCACAAAUAGAUGGUGCAUGAUUUACACCCCUCUUUAAGUUUCACUCCACCUUCCAUUUUCAUAGACGUGUACUGUGGAUCGAGAAUUGGGAAGGAUGCAGUGGAUCUGGUGAUGCUUCCACUCAACACAAUGAAUUGAGUCUGAAAAGUUGAUAUUGGUUCUUCGCUUCAUGUUUCAGUAAACGGUCCUCGACUAUGGCACUCUUUUUUGCUGCUGUGCCUUUCUCAUGCGGUCUCAAUUGAGUUUUCAGCCUUGAUCGAAUAUGUCAAUUGAAGCAGAUGAUAUAACUUGUCCUGAAGAUUAAGAAGUCUUUCACGGAUUUGGUGAUCCAUGAGCAGAAAGAGUUAAGUCUAGAUGCCGCUGUACUGGCGUGGUGUUCCAAUGGAGGGCAGGUCCAAGAAGAAUAGCUUCACCCUAAAACCGCGAGAACCGGGCGAAAGAACCUUCUCCAAGAACUACUUCAGCAUAGAGUCAUUUUUAGUACUUCUCUGCCUCACUGCUUCACUGCUGAUACUUCCACUUAUACUGCCUGUUUUGCCUCCCCCUCCACUUGUCAUCCUAUUGCUCCCGAUCGGCAUACUGGUUUUGCUCAUGAUCAUGGCGUUUAUGCCUUCUGAUGUAAGAAAGAUUGCAUCUCCUUGUGAAUGAAUUCUGAGUUUGUCUAUCAUUCUGCAUUUUUUUUUGCUAUCUAAACCUUUUUUAGAAGUGUUAAAAGGAAGGAGUUUAUUCUUAAUCUUUAAUCCAGUUUAGUCUCUCA